RNAcentral lists this ribosomal RNA (253 nucleotides) under uncultured bacterium. RNAcentral describes it as "partial 16S ribosomal RNA". It matches the Rfam family "Bacterial small subunit ribosomal RNA", at positions 524 to 776 of the family's 1533-position model. The record is from RNAcentral.
UACGAAGGGGGCUAGCGUUGCUCGGAAUUACUGGGCGUAAAGGGCGCGUAGGCGGAUAUUUAAGUUGGGGGUGAAAUCCCGGGGCUCAACCUCGGAAUUGCCUUCAAAACUGGAUAUCUUGAGUUCGGGAGAGGUGAGUGGAACUCCGAGUGUAGAGGUGAAAUUCGUAGAUAUUGGGAAGAACACCGGUGGCGAAGGCGGCGCUCUGGACCGAGACUGACGCUGAGGCGCGAAAGCGUGGGGAGCAAACAGG